Molecule: ribosomal RNA, 473 nt
Filed under: uncultured bacterium
Lineage: Bacteria
Description: bacterial SSU rRNA
Rfam family: Bacterial small subunit ribosomal RNA
Source: RNAcentral
UCGAGAAUCUUCGGCAAUGGGCGAAAGCCUGACCCAGCAACGCCGCGUGUGGGAUGAAGGCCCUCGGGUCGUAAACCACUGUCAGGAGGAAAGAAAAGUCGGCCGGAUAAUACUCGGUCGACCUGACGGUACCUCCAAAGGAAGCGCCGGCUAACUCCGUGCCAGCAGCCGCGGUAAGACGGAGGGCGCAAGCGUUGUUCGGAAUUACUGGGCGUAAAGCGCGGGCAGGCGGUCUGUUAAGUCGUUUGUGAAAAUCCGGGGCUCAACCCCGGAAAUGCAUACGAUACUGGCUGGCUGGAGACUGGUAGAGGCUAGCGGAAUUCCUGGUGUAGCGGUGAAAUGCGUAGAUAUCAAGAGGAACACCUGAGGUGAAGACGGGUUGCUGGGCUGACACUGACGCUGAGGCGCGAAAGCCAGGGGAGCAAACGGGAUUAGAUACCCCAGUAGUCCCUGAGCGGGCUGGCAAGGCGCAU